CUCUCUCUUUCUCUUUCUCUCUCUCUCUCUCUCUCUCUCUCUCUUUCUAUCUCUCUCCCUCUCUCUCUCUCUCUCUCUCUCUCUCUCUCUCUCUCUCUCUCUCUCUCUCUCUUUCUAUUCCUCUCCCUCCCUCUCUCUCUCUCUUGCUGAAUCUCUCUCCCUCUGUCUCUCAGUAUUCUCUUUCUCUUCUGUCGCUGUCUAUAUUCUCUCUCUUUCUCUCUCUCUAUAUGUAGUCUCUGUCUCCCUUUCUCAUUCUCUUUGUAUCUCUGAGUCUCUCUGUGAUGUAACGGCCCGCUGCUCUCCUUUUGUUUCUACACAUCCGCAGAGAACACAAAAACAGCCUCUGUUUGUCUCCUACUGUGUGCGUGUAUGUGUUGUGAGUGUGUGUGUGUGUGUUUGUGAACAUUCACAAUGUGCAUACGUUUUUGUGUGAUAUGUGCCUGCUGUUUGUGUGUGCCUGUGUAUAUGUCUGCCUGUUGUGUGCGUGCGCUUGUGUGUGUGUGUGUGUGUGUGUGUGCCUGUGUGUGCCUGUGUGUGGGUGCCUGUGUGUAUGUGUGCCUGUGUGUGUGCGUUUGCCUGUGUGUGCGUUUGCCUGUGUGUGUGUGUAUGUGCCUCUGUGUCUGUGCCUCUGUGUGUGUGUGCGCCUGUGUGUGUGUGUGUGUGUGUGCGCCUGUGUGUGUGUGCCUGUGUGUGUGCCUGUGUGUGUGUGUGCCUGUGUGCGUGUGUGUGUGGGCCUGUGUGUGCAGCAGUUCCCUGCCCAUGUGAGAUUGCUCCUUUCCUUCCUCCCUCCUUUCCUUCCUCCAUCCCUCCUGCUGGUGUCUGUGUCUGUGUUGUAGAAUAGUGAGAGGAGGAGAGCAGAGGAGCAGAGAACAGAGGCAGAGUUCCAUGGAGACCUGGGUGGUGGGGGGUUGUGCCUGGGAUUGUGUCUGUGUAUCUCUACUGCUCUCUGAUUAGGCUGCUCAGUCUGCUAAAUUAGCAUCGCACAGACCCACCAGCCUCCCUCUCUCUCUCUCUCUCUCACUCUCUCUUUCUCUCUCUCUCUAUCCCUCUGUCCUCUCUCUCUCUCUCUCUCCCCCUCUCACUCUCUCUCUCUCCCUAUUUCUCUCUCUCUAUCCCUCUGUCUUUCUCCUCUCCCCCUCCCUCUCUCUCUCUCUCUCUCUCUCUCUCCCUCUUUCUCUCUCUCUCCCUUUCUCUCUCUCUCUCUCUCUCUCUAUUUCUCUCUCUCUCUCUCACUCUCUCUUUCUCUCUCUCUCUAUCCCUCUGUCUUCCUCCUCUCUCUCUCUCUCUCCCCCCUCUCACUCUCUCUCUCUCUCCCUAUUUCUCUCUCUCUAUCCCUCUGUCUUUCUCCUCUCCCCCUCUCUCUCUCUCUCUCUCUCUCUCUCUCCCUCUUUCUCUCUCUCUCCCCUCUCUUUCUCUCUCUCUCUCUCUCUGUCUCUGUUCUUCUAUACGUGGGAGGGGAAGAGAGGAGGGAGGGGGAUAGGAUACAGGGACAGGAAAGGAGAAAAGAGAGAGAGGGAGGGAGAGGGAGGAGAGAUGGAGGGAGAGGGGAGGAGAGAUGGAGGGAGUGAGGUGAAGAAGAGAGAGAUGGAGGGAGUGAGGGGAAGGCAGGGGGUGAAGAGAGAAGAGGAGAAGAGAGUGAUGGAGGGAGGGAGUGAGGGGAAGGCAGGGGGAGAAGAGAGAGAUGGAGGGAGUGAGGCGAAGGCAGGGGGUGAAGAGAGAGAUGGAGGGAGUGAGGGGAAGGCAGGGGGUGAAAGAGAGAUGGAGGGAGUGGGGGAAUGCAGGGGGUGAAAGAGAGAUGGAGGGAGUGAGGGGAAGGCAGGGGGUGAAGAGAGAAGAGAGGAGAGAGAGAGAUGGAGGGAGCGAGGGGAAGGCAGGGGGUGAAGAGAGAAGAGGAGAAGUGAGAGAUGGAGGGAGUGAGGGGAAGGCAGAGGUGGGCGUGAUGCUUUUUUGAUCAGCAGCCAGAUUUUCACCCUUGUCUGUCAGUCUACACAGAGGAGAGGAGAGAGGGAUGGGGAGAAUAGAGGAGGGAGGGAAGGAGGGGGAGAAUAGAGGAGGGAGGGAGGGAGGGGGAGAAUAGAGGAGGGAGAGGAGAGGGGUGAGGAGAGAGGAGAUGAGAGAGGAGAGGAGAGAGGAGAUGAGAGAGGAGAUGAGAGAGAGGCUGCUGCUUCAAUGCACCGCUGCUCCCUGCUGAAUGUCAGUACCCCUCUCUCUCCCCUCCCCCUUCCCUCCAUCAUUGACCUUCCUCCAGAGUGCAGUGUGGCGUUACCGCCACCAGGUGGCGCCUCCCAUAAAGAAAACUGCAACCUUGGAAAUCCAACCAAAACAGGAAGAGUGGGCUGCUAAUGUGAUCACACUCCCACUUUCAGUCAUAACAAUGCACAGCGUGGCUGACUAACGUUUUCCGAGAGGUGCAGUGUGAGAGGUAGCUAGUGGGAUAAAGUGUAGGAUGAUUUGCCAUUUUGUCAAGGUCAUUCAUAGGACUCCUGUGCAGUCAUUUAAAAUGAACAAAUGUAGCAGAUGACAUCUUAAUAUGCAUAGGGCUUCAUCCCAAAUGGCACACUAUUAAGUAGAGCACUUCUUUUGACCGGGGCCCUAUAUGGAUGUUAAUGGGCAACAUACAUUCCAGUAACAUUCUGGUUCCUUUGCAUAGAAUGUGUUUGUUGUAGAUUAGAACAUUGGGUGCCGACAUGGAUGAGACUCAGCUGAACUCUGUCAACCCAGUUGGAGCUGGAUUCCUAUCCUAUGUCUGCUAGCCUUUCAGCUUGGUGCUGAACACUCUAUUAGUCUGUGUUUAGUGAUGGGAGGGAAUCGACAGGCUGACCUCCAGCCCUGCAGAAGGCUGUGUGAGACCAAUCAGUGUUCGGUGUUCAGGUGGCGUUAACAGUGGUGUUAGUGGACUGGCCAGUCAAUAGUGCUCAGCGCCAGGCAGAGGUGCCUGAUAGGCUGUUGCCACGGGAGAUGCAGAGACACACGACCUUGGUUACACAAAUCCUCUGUCUCUGUCUGUCUCUCUCUGUCCAUUUAUUUGUGUGUGUCUGUCUGUUAUUGUGUGUGUGUUACUGUCUUUCUCACUCUCUUUUUCCUUACUCUCUGUCACUGUCACUAUAUGUCAUUCUCUGUAUGUCUGUCUCUGUCACUAUAUGUCAUUCUCUGUAUGUCU
Oncorhynchus tshawytscha (Chinook salmon) is the source of this 3160-nucleotide long non-coding RNA. The record is from Ensembl. Lineage: Eukaryota; Metazoa; Chordata; Actinopteri; Salmoniformes; Salmonidae.